Molecule: long non-coding RNA, 1416 nt
Organism: Mus musculus (house mouse)
Lineage: Eukaryota; Metazoa; Chordata; Mammalia; Rodentia; Muridae
Product: RIKEN cDNA 1700051K13 gene
Exons: 2
Source: RefSeq, marked validated
ACUCACCUGCUAUUCUCCCAAUGGGCAUGGCGUGCUCUUCCGGUGGGGACAUAGAGACCAUGAUGUGGUUCAAAUCUUCCUCAUCACUGGAGGCACUGAGCAAAAGCUGUAACGACCACAGCAUACGAGACUCAUGGGAAGGGAAGGCCUAUUUCAUGAUUGCUGUAUGAUCUGAUGCCACGGAUUCAAGCAUCCUUCCUCACUGGGACAGCUAUCCUAGGACACUUACUUACUAUCCUAGAUCACUAAACGGUAAGAGUUCUAACCAACUAGAAAAAGGAAUGAAAGAUACGUCAGUAUCUUGCUGAAGACUGGUGUUCAGGCAACAUGGUAUCUCAGAUAUGACAGGAACAGGAAAGGAUUUAAAGCCAGCCACCAUUCACCUAAGAAAGAAAGAGGAGUUCCAGGUUCAAUACCGGCAGAGUGGCCCUCUCAACCCAAACUUCCUACAGGAAGACUUCACAGAAAAUGGAUGUAAUAAACUAAAAAAAAAAUCCAUGUAAAGAUACUGGACAAUGACUCCAAAUAGAUGAAAACACAAGGGACUUUAUUCUUAAAAUAUAUAUAUAUAUAUAUAUAUAUAUAUAUAUAUCUCCAUUCUCCAAGAGUACCCUCAUCAGUGACGGUACAAGGCAGUUUGAAGAUGAAAAGAACUCAUGUGAGCUGUCAGGAUGCAAGGAGGCAACAAAAAUGGAGAAACCUGCAGAAAGAAGCCUUAUCAAGGGCAGCAUACCAGAGAGAACUUCCAAAAGGGCAAGCUAAAGUUCUCUCACAUUCUUGUCUGACUCCUGAACAAUACACACCCCGGGGAGACGCAAAAGCAGGGGUUGUGUGGCUGAGAGGUACAAACAGAAGUCUGGGCUCCUGACCACUGUAGUAGAGAAACAGGUCAGAGCUAGAGACUCACUAAGUUAAAAGGCUCUGUCAACACUCCAGCAUGGCCACAUGUUAGUGUAGAAAGCCCUGUGUUACACUACAAAGGGUCCUUACUGAGGGCUAAAGGCAAAGCUGAGACAGAUUUGCCCCAGAAAAAAAUGUAAACCAGCUGCUACAUGAUAAAAGUGACUGGUUAAUAGAUCAACUGCCUGCAAGCGAAAGGGUCAACACUCUUCACAGGAAUAGAAUACAACCCGGAGUCUCUUUCAACGUGCUGACUGUAAAGUUCAGCCUCAACACAGCUUUUUCUAGACACAGAAGAUGUGACCUGUUAUUAAAAGGCCACCAACAGAAACAGAUUCUGUGGUAAUGAUGGGAUUAGCUAAAGAGACUUUAAAGGAAUUUAAGGAAGCUGUUAGCAUUUCAGGGACACCACAGUAAUAAUAAGUAAUGACAUACAGGAACUAUCAAAACAGAAACUUAGAAAACAAAAAUGAAGAUUCUAGAACCAAAAAGUACAAUAAACGAAAUGAAAGAGUA